Molecule: unclassified non-coding RNA, 256 nt
Filed under: uncultured Ascomycota
Lineage: Eukaryota; Fungi; Ascomycota
Description: sequence contains ITS1
Source: RNAcentral
ACGUUCCAUAUAAAGGUACCGCGCCGUCGCUCGUCGAUCUCAUCGCGGGCCGCGUUCAGUUCCUGAUGGGCGCGGUCCUGACGGCAGUGCCGCACGUGAAGGAGGGGCGGCUCCGUGCGCUCGCACUAACCGGCGGCAAGCGCAUCGCAUCGUUGCCCGACCUUCCGACUAUCGAGCAGGCGGGGCUGCCGGGAUUCGUGGUGACGACGUGGCAGGGCAUCUUUGCGCCGGCCGGCGUGCCGCGGCCGCUGCUCGA